RNAcentral lists this unclassified non-coding RNA (278 nucleotides) under uncultured fungus. Its description in RNAcentral is "partial contains small subunit ribosomal RNA, internal transcribed spacer 1, and 5.8S ribosomal RNA". The stretch from base 1 to 73 matches the Rfam family "Eukaryotic small subunit ribosomal RNA", at positions 1759 to 1831 of the family's 1831-position model. Lineage: Eukaryota; Fungi. The record is from RNAcentral.
CCAAACUUGGUCAUUUAGAGGAAGUAAAAGUCGUAACAAGGUCUCCGUUGGUGAACCAGCGGAGGGAUCAUUACUGAGUUAUCACAACUCCAACCCAUGUGAACCAUACCACUGUUGCCUCGGCGGCUAAGGCCUACCCGGUACCUACCCGGGAGCGGGCCGACCCCGCCGGUGGAUUUUCAGACUCUGUUUUAGUGGCAUCUCUGAGUAUACUGUUAAAAUAAGUCAAAACUUUCAACAACGGAUCUCUUGGUUCUGGCAUCGAUGAAGAACGCAGC